CUUGACAUCCAGAGAAUUUAGCAGAGAUGCUUUAGUGCCUUCGGGAACUCUGAGACAGGUGCUGCAUGGCUGUCGUCAGCUCGUGUUGUGAAAUGUUGGGUUAAGUCCCGCAACGAGCGCAACCCUUAUCCUUUGUUGCCAGCACGUAAUGGUGGGAACUCAAAGGAGACUGCCGGUGAUAAACCGGAGGAAGGUGGGGACGACGUCAAGUCAUCAUGGCCCUUACGAGUAGGGCUACACACGUGCUACAAUGGCGCAUACAAAGAGAAGCGACCUCGCGAGAGCAAGCGGACCUCGUAAAGUGCGUCGUAGUCCGGAUUGGAGUCUGCAACUCGACUCCAUGAAGUCGGAAUCGCUAGUAAUCGUAAAUCAGAAUGUUACGGUGAAUACGUUCCCGGGCCUUGUACACACCGCCCGUCACACCAUGGGAGUGGGUUGCAAAAGAAGUAGAUAGCUUAACCUUCGGGAGGGCGUUUACCACUUUGUGAUUCAUGACUGGGGUGAAGUCGUAACAAGGUAAGCGUAGUGCU
Molecule: ribosomal RNA, 530 nt
Filed under: uncultured bacterium
Lineage: Bacteria
Description: bacterial SSU rRNA
Rfam family: Bacterial small subunit ribosomal RNA
Source: RNAcentral